UCGAGCGGUAACAGGUGUAGCAAUACAUGCUGACGAGCGGCGAACGGGUGAGUAAUGCUUUGGAAUCUUCCCAGUAGUGGGGAAUAACCAGUCGAAAGAUUGGCUAAUACCGCAUACGUCUGUAAAGGGAAAGCGGGGGCUCGUAAGACCUCGCGCUAUUGGAUGAGCCAAAGUCGGAUUAGCUAGUUGGUGGGGUAAUGGCCUACCAAGGCGACAAUCCGUAGCUGGUCUGAGAGGACGACCAGCCACACCGGAACUGAGACACGGUCCGGACUCCUACGGGAGGCAGCAGUGGGGAAUAUUGGACAAUGGGGGAAACCCUGAUCCAGCGACGCCGCGUGUGUGAAGAAGGCCUGCGGGUUGUAAAGCACUUUUAGUGGGGACAAAAAGCUACGGAUUAAUACUCUGUGGUCUUGAUUUAACCCAAAGAAAAAGCACCGGCUAACUCUGUGCCAGCAGCCGCGGUAAUACAGAGGGUGCGAGCGUUAAUCGGAAUUACUGGGCGUAAAGCGCGCGUAGACGGUUUUGUAAGUCAGAUGUGAAAUCCCUGGGCUCAACCUGGGAACUGCAUUUGAAACUGCAUGGCUAGAGUAUGGAAGAGGGAAGUGGAAUUUCCGGUGUAGCGGUGAAAUGCGUAGAUAUCGGAAGGAACACCAGUGGCGAAAGCGACUUCCUGGUCCAAUACUGACGUUCAUGUGCGAAAGCGUGGGGAGCAAACAGGAUUAGAUACCCUGGUAGUCCACGCCAUAAACGAUGACAACUAGAUGUUGGGAGGGUCUGCCUCUCGGUGUCGCAGCUAACGCG
RNAcentral lists this ribosomal RNA (804 nucleotides) under uncultured Gammaproteobacteria bacterium. RNAcentral's name for it is "bacterial SSU rRNA". It matches the Rfam family "Bacterial small subunit ribosomal RNA", at positions 62 to 859 of the family's 1533-position model. The record is from RNAcentral. Lineage: Bacteria; Pseudomonadati; Pseudomonadota; Gammaproteobacteria.